Small nucleolar RNA from Tachyglossus aculeatus (Australian echidna), 138 nucleotides. The record is from RefSeq and is a predicted model, not a curated record. Lineage: Eukaryota; Metazoa; Chordata; Mammalia; Monotremata; Tachyglossidae.
CCCCUCUCAGGUUGGCAUCUGAAGAGUUUCACGUACUCUAUCAUUCUCAACUACGGGAGGGAGAGUCAAGCAGAGGCAUACCCAUUCCAUUCCUAGUUUGGGCAGUGGCUAGUGAGUAGAAGGCAAUCUGCUACAAGU